Molecule: ribosomal RNA, 299 nt
Filed under: uncultured bacterium
Lineage: Bacteria
Description: partial 16S ribosomal RNA
Rfam family: Bacterial small subunit ribosomal RNA
Source: RNAcentral
GACGAACGCUGGCGGCGUGCUUAACACAUGCAAGUCGAACGGAGCACUUCGGUGCUUAGUGGCGAACGGGUGAGUAACGCGUGAGAAACCUGCCUUUCACAACGGGAUAGCCUCGGGAAACUGGGAUUAAUACCGUAUGAUACUCAACUCCAGCAUUGGAGAUGAGUUAAAGCGUAAAGCGGUGAAAGAUGGUCUCGCGUCCCAUUAGUUAGUUGGUGAGGUAACGGCUCACCAAGACUUCGAUGGGGUAGCCGGCCUGAGAGGGUGAACGGCCACACUGGAACUGAGACACGGUCCAG